This 92-nucleotide unclassified non-coding RNA is filed under the name Paenisporosarcina quisquiliarum. Lineage: Bacteria; Bacillati; Bacillota; Bacilli; Caryophanales; Caryophanaceae. The record is from RNAcentral.
GCACGCCGUGUGCGGUGAAAGUCGCUUGCACGGUGUAGGCUCGAUUCGAAGGCUACAUUAUAUGUAGUAUAAGGCGAGAAUAGCGAUGCAAC